GAAGAAGAAGCAAGGUAGAAGAAGAUGAAGCAUAACAGAAGCCAGUGACGACUCGAACGGGAGUGAAAAGCGUAACUGUUUUCUCCCCAAAAAACGAUAAGCGAAAAAAAUAAGGAAAAAAAGCGAAAGAAGAAAGUUAUACACACGGAAAAAUUGCAAGCAUUCGAUUCGAUUUCAUUCAGUGAAUUGACGCCGCAGUUCGAGUCGAGUCGAGUUCGAGUCGAGUUCGAAUCGAGUUCGAGUCCGAGUUCUCUAAAAUUUGCAACAACAAAUGAAUAACAGCAAUAAAAACAGCAACAACAAUAAAAAAGCUCAAAAACUGUUGAAUAUAGAAUGACGUUGCAGA
Long non-coding RNA from Drosophila innubila, 346 nucleotides. RefSeq lists it as uncharacterized. The record is from RefSeq and is a predicted model, not a curated record. Lineage: Eukaryota; Metazoa; Arthropoda; Insecta; Diptera; Drosophilidae. The transcript is spliced from 2 exons.